Molecule: ribosomal RNA, 497 nt
Filed under: uncultured bacterium
Lineage: Bacteria
Description: partial 16S ribosomal RNA
Rfam family: Bacterial small subunit ribosomal RNA
Source: RNAcentral
GACGAACGCUGGCGGCGUGCCUAAUACAUGCAAGUAGAACGCUUAAGAGAGGAGCUUGCUCUUCUUGGAUGAGUUGCGAACGGGUGAGUAACGCGUAGGUAACCUGCCUUUUAGCGGGGGAUAACUAUUGGAAACGAUAGCUAAUACCGCAUAACAAUGGAUGACACAUGUCAUUUAUUUGAAAGGGGCAAUUGCUCCACUACAAGAUGGACCUGCGUUGUAUUAGCUAGUAGGUGAGGUAAUGGCUCACCUAGGCGACGAUACAUAGCCGACCUGAGAGGGUGAUCGGCCACACUGGGACUGAGACACGGCCCAGACUCCUACGGGAGGCAGCAGUAGGGAAUCUUCGGCAAUGGGGGCAACCCUGACCGAGCAACGCCGCGUGAGUGAAGAAGGUUUUCGGAUCGUAAAGCUCUGUUGUAAGUCAAGAACGGGUGUGAGAGUGGAAAGUUCACACUGUGACGGUAGCUUACCAGAAAGGGACGGCUAACUACGUG